CUUUUUGUUCUCCGUCUCAUAGUUAUGGACUAGAGAAGUUUUAAUAGACUCGUGAACUAAUGUUUGCGUGGUUAUGGGGUUUCUUUUAUUAAUUGUACCCUGGAAGAAUAAACUUUCAAUUAAAUCUAAGACGCCAGCCACCUAAGUAUUGAAAGAACUUUUGGCCUUUUUAAGAGUUGGUUUACAAAAGUUGAGUAGCCAGACCGUUACAAUGUUUAACAUUGUUAACACUGCCAAAAUGUUAAGCAGUCGUUAAGUAGUAUCAUUCAGGAAAGUACUAAAGGAAAUGACUUGUGGGACACACAUUCAGGAAGACUCCUACAACUGCCUUAGUUCCCAGCAUACCUCCUGAGAGGCCCUUCCUGAGACAGCUCAACUGGGACGUGGUUCUAGCCAGUGCUUGGACAACCUGGAAUGCGGAUUCCUUACGAUGUAUGUGCACUAUAAACUACCUCACCAGCCUUUCUGAGGGAAAGCAAUCAAGUGGACUUUAACUUCUUUUGUUUGUCUGUUCCGCUGUCCCUGGGUCUUACUUCAAGUCACUGCAGUUAGUUCUUAGUGUGUGUUUUCAUCAUAUGUCAUUCACGAUGUAAAUUAGUUUUAGCAAAAGCAUUUAGACAAAAAUACCCUGGAAGUGUGCCCUGCGCUGUGCUCCGAGAGAGUCUGUGUGUGUCCCUGAUGGGUUGCUUGUGUUUCUAACCAUGCAGGGACACAGGUUGUUGGGAACUGGUGUUCAUCUUUUCUGACAGUGUUGCCACGCUGUCUGUGGAUUUUAUUUGACUGAAAACCGAGGAGACGAAAAUGUCUCUUUCUCUAGCAAGUGUGUUUUAACUCUUUUUUCAUGUGUAUGUCUGACUUGCCUGGAAAGACUGUGCGUUAGGGGAUUGAACACUCCUCUUGACAGGCAUUUUCAACUAUUUUCCAUAAAUAUGUCAUUUAAUAAAAAGUAAUAUGACACGGGAUUAAAGU
This 969-nucleotide long non-coding RNA is filed under the name Rattus norvegicus (Norway rat). Its description in RNAcentral is "long non-coding RNA NONRATT030376". Lineage: Eukaryota; Metazoa; Chordata; Mammalia; Rodentia; Muridae. The record is from RNAcentral.